UACGGGGGGAGCAAGCGUUGUUCGGAAUUACUGGGCGUAAAGCGCGUGCAGGUGGUUUUCUAAGUUUCGUGUGAAACCCCAUGGCUCAACCAUGGAACGGCACGGAAAACUGGAAGACUUGAAUACGGGAGAAGAGGGCGGAAUUCCCAGUGUAGAGGUGAAAUUCGUAGAUAUUGGGAGGAACACCGGUGGCGAAAGCGGCUCUCUAGACCGAUAUUGACGCUCAUACGCGAGAGCGUGGGUAGCAAACAGG
Molecule: ribosomal RNA, 253 nt
Filed under: uncultured bacterium
Lineage: Bacteria
Description: partial 16S ribosomal RNA
Rfam family: Bacterial small subunit ribosomal RNA
Source: RNAcentral